GGAGGGCUGUCCGAGCGGCCGAUGGACCCGGUCUUGAAAACCGGUAAGCAGCAAUGCUUCGUGGGUUCGAAUCCCACGCCCUCCG
RNAcentral lists this transfer RNA (85 nucleotides) under Amnibacterium kyonggiense. RNAcentral's name for it is "tRNA-Ser". It matches the Rfam family "tRNA". Rfam says of the family: Transfer RNA (tRNA) molecules are approximately 80 nucleotides in length. Their secondary structure includes four short double-helical elements and three loops (D, anti-codon, and T loops). Further hydrogen bonds mediate the characteristic L-shaped molecular structure. tRNAs have two regions of fundamental functional importance: the anti-codon, which is responsible for specific mRNA codon recognition, and the 3' end, to which the tRNAs corresponding amino acid is attached (by aminoacyl-tRNA synthetases). tRNAs cope with the degeneracy of the genetic code in two manners: having more than one tRNA (with a specific anti-codon) for a particular amino acid; and 'wobble' base-pairing, i.e. permitting non-standard base-pairing at the 3rd anti-codon position. Lineage: Bacteria; Bacillati; Actinomycetota; Actinomycetes; Micrococcales; Microbacteriaceae. The record is from RNAcentral.